This 315-nucleotide antisense RNA is filed under the name Xanthomonas arboricola. RNAcentral describes it as "sRNA asX4/Xoo4". It matches the Rfam family "Xanthomonas sRNA asX4/Xoo4". The record is from RNAcentral. Lineage: Bacteria; Pseudomonadati; Pseudomonadota; Gammaproteobacteria; Lysobacterales; Lysobacteraceae.
GUCAGGCAAAGCGCUCGAAUGUAUGACGUUCGCGUCGCGUGUCUGGCAUCAAGGAAGAUGGACGCGUCGCCGCCACCCUAGAGGCGGCAUCCCGCGCGUGACGCCCGAUCAGGCACCGUCGUGACCGGAUUCCUUGUUUUCUCGUUCGCUGACCACGUCGGCAUGCGCCACGCGCGCGGGGCCGCUCAGCUGGUCGCCGAGGUGUAGCGAUAGGACAGCAGCGACUUCACCAGGAACGUGAUCUGGGUGGCCGAGCGCGCGUCCACGCGCAUGACCGGGAUGCGGAAGCCUUCGGCCACCAGUGCGUCGCGGAAC